RNAcentral lists this small nuclear RNA (263 nucleotides) under Pongo abelii (Sumatran orangutan). It matches the Rfam family "7SK RNA", at positions 51 to 331 of the family's 331-position model. From Rfam's summary of the family: 7SK was discovered as an abundant small nuclear RNA in the mid-70s but a possible function has only recently been suggested. The record is from RNAcentral. Lineage: Eukaryota; Metazoa; Chordata; Mammalia; Primates; Hominidae.
GGAUGUGAGGGCAAUCUGGCUGGCUAGGCAGGAGUCCUUUUCCUUCCUCACUGCUGUAUGUGUGUCUCUCCUGAAGUUGGAUUCUUGGUCAAAGAGGAUGAUCUUUGCUGAUAGAAGAGGAUUUUUCUUUGGUCAAGGGUAUAGGAGUAGCUGCACUCCCUUUUUAGGACCUCCAAACAAGCUCUCAAGAUCUACUUGUAGGAGAACAUGGGGUAAAAAAAGUUUUAAGUUGGUAAUUUUCAUGAAGUUCAAUCUAUGGUUUU